UGUCCUGUUUUAGUACCAUGCAUCUGACUUUUCUUACGGAUGUGUGGCUAUGCUAACAGGAGAGAGAAACUGUCCGUCAGUGUCUGAAGGAGUCGGGCAGUCUAUUUUCUGCCGCUCCUAAUGAAACGAUGGCACAAUAUAAACCU
Molecule: small nucleolar RNA, 146 nt
Filed under: Mola mola (ocean sunfish)
Lineage: Eukaryota; Metazoa; Chordata; Actinopteri; Tetraodontiformes; Molidae
Description: Small nucleolar RNA SNORA29 (ENSMMOG00000015000.1)
Source: RNAcentral